GACGAACGCUGGCGGCGUGCCUAAUACAUGCAAGUUGAGCGAUGAAGAUUGGUGCUUGCACCCAUUUGAAGAGCAGCGAACGGGUGAGUAACGCGUGGGGAAUCUGCCUUUGAGCGGGGGACAACAUUUGGAAACGAAUGCUAAUACCGCAUAACAACUUUUAACAUAAGUUUUAAGGUUGAAAGAUGCAAUUGCAUCACUCAAAGAUGAUUCCGCGUUGUAUUAGCUAGUUGGUGAGGUAAAGGCUCACCAAGGCGAUGAUACAUAGCCGACCUGAGAGGGUGAUCGGCCACAUUGGGACUGAGACACGGCCCAAACUCCUACGGGAGGCAGCAGUAGGGAAUCUUCGGCAAUGGACGAAAGUCUGACCGAGCAACGCCGCGUGAGUGAAGAAGGUUUUCGGAUCGUAAAACUCUGUUGGUAGAGAAGAACGUUGGUGAGAGUGGAAAGCUCAUCAAGUGACGGUAACUACCCAGAAAGGGACGGCUAACUACGUG
RNAcentral lists this ribosomal RNA (497 nucleotides) under uncultured bacterium. RNAcentral's name for it is "partial 16S ribosomal RNA". It matches the Rfam family "Bacterial small subunit ribosomal RNA", at positions 28 to 507 of the family's 1533-position model. The record is from RNAcentral.